UACGUAGGCAGCAAGCGUUGUUCGGAGUUACUGGGCGUAAAGAGUGCGUAGGUGGUUUUCUAAGUUUGGUGUGAAAUCUCCCGGCUCAACUGGGAGGGUGCGCCGAAAACUGGAAGGCUAGAGUGUGGGAGAGGAGAGCGGAAUUCCUGGUGUAGCGGUGAAAUGCGUAGAUAUCAGGAGGAACACCUGCGGUGCAGACGGCUCUCUGGACCAUUACUGACACUGAGGCACGAAAGCGUGGGGAGCAAACAGG
This 253-nucleotide ribosomal RNA is filed under the name uncultured Acidobacteriota bacterium. Its description in RNAcentral is "uncultured Acidobacteria bacterium partial 16S ribosomal RNA". It matches the Rfam family "Bacterial small subunit ribosomal RNA", at positions 524 to 776 of the family's 1533-position model. Lineage: Bacteria; Pseudomonadati; Acidobacteriota. The record is from RNAcentral.